This 743-nucleotide ribosomal RNA is filed under the name uncultured bacterium. RNAcentral describes it as "bacterial SSU rRNA". It matches the Rfam family "Bacterial small subunit ribosomal RNA", at positions 30 to 763 of the family's 1533-position model. The record is from RNAcentral.
GAAACGCUGGCGGCGUGCUACACAUGCAAGUCAAGGAGAAGUCUGCUUCGGUAGACAAGUAAACUGGCGAACGGGUGAGUAACGCGUAGAUAACUUGCCCAAAGGACUGGGAUAACUUCGAGAAAUCGGGACUAAUACCGGAUAUGGCAAACAGUCAUAAGGUUGUUUGUGAAAGAGGGUUUCGGCUCUCACCUUUGGAUGGGUCUGCGUCUGAUUAGUUAGUUGGUGGGGUAACGGCCUACCAAGGCAACGAUCAGUAGCUGGUCUGAGAGGAUGAUCAGCCACAUUGGGACUGAGAUACGGCCCAGACUCCUACGGGAGGCAGCAGUGGGGAAUUUUGCGCAAUGGGGGAAACCCUGACGCAGCAACGCCGCGUGGUCGACGACGCUUCUAGGAGUGUAAAGACCUGUCGUUGGGGAAGAACUGGACAGUGAGUAACUGCUCUGUCUGUGACUGUACCCUUCAAGAAAGCUCCGGCUAACUCCGUGCCAGCAGCCGCGGUAAUACGGGGGGAGCAAGCGUUAUCCGGAAUCACUGGGCGUAAAGGGCGCGUAGGCGGAUGGUUAAGUCAAAUCUGAAAGUUAACAGCUUAACUGUUAAAGUGGGUUUGAUACUGGUUAUCUUGAGUGCGAGAGAGGAAAGCGGAAUUCCUGGUGUAGCGGUGAAAUGCGUAGAUAUCACGAGGAACACCGGUGGCGAAAGCGGCUUUCUGGCUCGUAACUGACGCUGAGCGCGAAAGCGUG